UGGGCAACCUGCCCUCAGCUCUGGGAUAACUCCGGGAAACCGGUGCUAAUACUGGAUAUCGACUUCUGCCUCGCAUGGGGUGUUGUUGAAAGUUUUUCGGCUGGGGAUGGGCCCGCGGCCUAUCAGCUUGUUGGUGGGGUGAUGGCCUACCAAGGCGACGACGGGUAGCCGGCCUGAGAGGGCGACCGGCCACACUGGGACUGAGACACGGCCCAGACCUCCGUACGGGGAGGCA
This 235-nucleotide ribosomal RNA is filed under the name uncultured bacterium. RNAcentral's name for it is "partial 16S ribosomal RNA". It matches the Rfam family "Bacterial small subunit ribosomal RNA", at positions 118 to 350 of the family's 1533-position model. The record is from RNAcentral.